AUGAAGGGGAUCAAACAAAUAAAGGANNNNNNNNNNCAAACAAAUGAAAGAGACCAAACAAAUGAAAGAGACCAAACAAAUGAGGGGGACGAAAUUAAAGCGGACAAAAACACAUUUAUUAAUAACCUUUUAAUAUAUUUAAAUAGCUUAAUUAUUCUUUAUUUUUCCAAAACUAACUUAAUGGACGUAUGUAUAAAUCGGAGAGGCUAUAACAAAUGUGGUUUUUAUGCAUGCGAUAAUACAUUUCUAAAUAAUAUAAAUAAAAGUAAAUACAAAAUUGAUGUAGUAACUAAAAAUGUUUAUUUAAGGGAAUAUUUUGAUUUAUUCUGUUCUACUAAAUGUAUGAACUUAAAUUUAUAUUUAAUAAAAAAAAUAACAAAAAACUUAAAAGAGUCGAAAGAGCCUCCUAAUUUAAAAAAAAAAUGUUUACUUAUACAUAUUAUGUUUUUAACUUUUUUCCCUUGUUUUAAUUUUCAUGAUAUUAAUUUUAUUUUUCAAAACAUUGAUCAUAUAACAAUUAAAAAUAAUAAAAUUAUUAUUAACCCUGAAAUAAAUCGAAAAAAUGAAAAAAAUCAAAACGUAAAUAUAAACAAAAAUACAAAUAAAAAUACAAACAAAAAUACAAACAUAAAUACAAACAUAAAUACAAACAUAAAUACAGACAAAAAUAUAGACAAAAAUACAAACAUAAAUAUAGACAAAAAUAUAAGUAAUGAUUCGAGUAUAUAUGAUUACCAGAACCUUAUUAUGGACAAAACUGAUUUCGUUGAAGGUCAGCAGGGGGGGGACCACCAAACAAACGAACAGACGAACGAACAGACGAACGAACAGACGAACGAACAGACGAACGAACAGACGAACGAACAGACGAACGAACAGACGAACGAACAGACAAACGAACAGACAAACGAACAAACGAACGAACAGACGAACGAACAGACAAAUAAAAGUAAUGACCUAAAAAACUAACGAAUCUAUACAAAACAACAAGCACAUAGACAACCUACAAAAAUUAAAUAUUAUGUCUCAAAACAAUACUACUUAUAAAAUUAUAGAUGAAGAAAAAAAUCAUAAAAUAAAAAAAAAAGUAAGUUUUAACA
Molecule: long non-coding RNA, 1100 nt
Filed under: Piliocolobus tephrosceles (Ugandan red Colobus)
Lineage: Eukaryota; Metazoa; Chordata; Mammalia; Primates; Cercopithecidae
Description: lncRNA (ENSPTEG00000000408.1)
Source: RNAcentral